Molecule: ribosomal RNA, 472 nt
Filed under: uncultured bacterium
Lineage: Bacteria
Description: bacterial SSU rRNA
Rfam family: Bacterial small subunit ribosomal RNA
Source: RNAcentral
AUUGAACGCUGGCGGCAGGCCUAACACAUGCAAGUCGAACGGUAGCACAGGAGAGCUUGCUCUCUGGGUGACGAGUGGCGGACGGGUGAGUAAUGCAUGGGGAGCUGCCCAAUCGAGGGGGAUACCAGCUGGAAACGGCUGCUAAUACCGCAUACGCCCUGAGGGGGAAAGGUGGGGACCUUCGGGCCUACCGCGAUUGGAUGCACCCAUGUGGGAUUAGCUAGUUGGUGAGGUAACGGCUCACCAAGGCGACGAUCUCUAGCUGGUCUGAGAGGAUGACCAGCCACACUGGAACUGAGACACGGUCCAGACUCCUACGGGAGGCAGCAGUGGGGAAUAUUGCACAAUGGGGGGAAACUCUGACCCAGCGACGCCGCGUGAGGGAUGAAGGCCUUCGGUUGUAACCUCUUCAGUAGGGAAGAAGCGAAGUGACGGUACCUACAGAAGAAGCACCGGCUAACUAUGUGCCAGC